Molecule: transfer RNA, 72 nt
Filed under: Parcubacteria group bacterium GW2011_GWA2_38_13b
Lineage: Bacteria
Description: tRNA-Arg
Rfam family: tRNA
About the family: Transfer RNA (tRNA) molecules are approximately 80 nucleotides in length. Their secondary structure includes four short double-helical elements and three loops (D, anti-codon, and T loops).
Source: RNAcentral
GUCCCCAUAGCUCAAUGGACAGAGCAACGCCCUUCUAAGGCGAAGAUGAAAGUUCGAUUCUUUCUGGGGGCA